UGGGUGACUGCCUUGGCUGGAAAGGAGACAGAUGGGGCCCCUGCUCUCUGGGACUGAUUUCCAGUGGGAAGAAGGACGAUCAUCAAGGAACCCAACAAAUGAAUGACACCACCACAGGCAUGACAAGGGAAGCACAGAAAGAAAUAUGAUGCUAUGAAGAGGGCGAGGCUCUUCUGAGAAAACUCCUGCUCCAGGUGAGAGCAGA
RNAcentral lists this long non-coding RNA (205 nucleotides) under Homo sapiens (human). RNAcentral's name for it is "long non-coding RNA NONHSAT148624". Lineage: Eukaryota; Metazoa; Chordata; Mammalia; Primates; Hominidae. The record is from RNAcentral.